GGGACCCCUAAAACAGAAAAGAGCUUUGGCCCCCCACUCUGCAAGAGUAAAUGAUGUUAUGAGUAUUGGGGGGUUGGGGGAGAAUAUGAUGACACUGAUUCUCUCACCCUGGGACUUGUAUUGUAUUGUACAUUAACAUUAUGCACAAGUUACUUUCCUAUACCUAUUUAUCGAAAAUUCUUUACCCUGAUGCCCAAGUUUUUGGUCCUUUUGUCCUAGAAUUAACAAUGUGACAACUGACUACUCCAUUAUAUUGCACUAACUACACUACCUAUGCCCCUAGCCUUUUCUUUCAUAGCUAUGAAUGAAUGAAAUACUCCCCCUCUCGCUUCCACAGGAGAAAUCAAAUAAAUUCAAGUUCAAGGACAAAGACUCAGUACUGACAUAAAAGGACACCCUGAUGAGAAGGUUAGCACAUAUUUGGAUUAUUCAAAAUCCGGUAAUAACUCCUCAUAAUUUGGCUUCCAUUUUCCAACUCUAAGUUUGUACACACGCCUAAUUUGUUAGUUGAAUCUGACAUUAGAGACUUGUGUUGGUUAGUGAUUGGAUUAAUCUAAUAACUAAUAGUGUGUUUCCAACUGAGGUCAAACUGCAAACUACAAAUAAUGUAUAUAGCUUCACUAUUUUCAUGUCAAAAACAAUUUUGGAGUGCGAGAAAAAGAUGUGGAGGUGAAUCCAAACAUUUGGGCUAAGUUUAGAAUAGAGAUUGCGCAAAGAUAGCAGUGGUCAAUAGUAAAAGUUUAAACAAAGGUCUUGUCAAUUUUUUGACUUAACGACACAUGUUAAGAAAAUUAAAAGUGAAGAUUUUAUUUUGAAAAAAUAAUAUUUUCACCUUUAAGAAAUUGAAUGUAUGACUUUUAAGAUUUAUAUUCUAUAUUAAAUUCCUUAACAUAUGUAUGUAUAUGACUAUGGUGUCUUUAAUAUGACAACUUUUUUUAGGUUGUUCAAAUAUCACCUCUUAGCAUCAAAUAUCUACUUCGUAUUUGUCUUAACAUUAGAGCUUAAAAACUCUCUUUAAUUUGUAUAAUUUAAAAAUUGAAAAUGCAAAAGUUUGAAAAUGCACACAAUGGUUGACCCCUACACCAAGUCAAUGAAAAAUUGAAUAGUCAAGGGUCUCUCUAAUGGAGUAUUGAUUACAAAGAGCCAAUUAAGGGAAUGUCUUUCUUGGAUGCCCUAUAUCUUAAAUGCUUUGAGAUUUCCUUAUUUUUCUUCUAAUUUUCUCUUAAUAAACAAUUAAUUUUAAACAUAAUUUAUUUUUACUAUAUCUUCUUUUCUAGUUCCUGAAUCAAACAAUGUUAUUUUUUCAUCUAAAUGAAAUAAUUGUAAGUUUAGAAUCUUGAGUGGAUUUAUUCAGUAUAGUUGAAUAGAAAAAUGAUAUUUGUACAUUCAUUUUGCAACAAUUUUUUGACAAUUUUCUCUCUAAUAUUUAUAUUAUAUUUAUAUUCUCUCUUUUCCUUUUUUUCUAUUAUUUUUUACCAAUAGAAAUAGAGAAAAUUGAAGUUGUCACCAAUGGUUGUUCAUAUAUCAUUGGUCAGUUCAAUAAGCU
Molecule: long non-coding RNA, 1546 nt
Filed under: Medicago truncatula (barrel medic)
Lineage: Eukaryota; Viridiplantae; Streptophyta; Magnoliopsida; Fabales; Fabaceae
Description: long non-coding RNA (MTRU_LNC007861)
Source: RNAcentral